Ictalurus punctatus (channel catfish) is the source of this 2629-nucleotide long non-coding RNA. RefSeq lists it as uncharacterized. The transcript is spliced from 3 exons. The record is from RefSeq and is a predicted model, not a curated record. Lineage: Eukaryota; Metazoa; Chordata; Actinopteri; Siluriformes; Ictaluridae.
UCACUUUCCUCCAAGUCCACAGCAUUGUAGACUGAUUGGCAUUUCCAAACUGUCCAAAGUGUAUGAAUGUGUGUGCGAUUGUGCGAUAAGUUAGCACCCCAUCCAGGGUAUCCCCCCACCUUGUGCCCCAAGUUCCCAGGGAUAAGCUCCAGGCUCCCCUGUGACCUUGAGUAGGAUAAGCGCUAUAGGAAUGGAUGGAAGGAUGGAUGAAGUUUUCACCCCAAGUGUGAAUUCACCCACGUAGACCAGUAUAUCAGAAUAGUUCUUCAAGAAAUCAUCAAGGCAUUUUCAGAAAUCAGACUGAGCAGUACAGUGGUGUAGCCAAUAUCGUUGCUGCCUCGCAGCUCCAGUGUAACAAAGGGCACUCUAGAGGAUAGUUAGUAGGAUCCAUGUGCAAAACCUUAAUUAGAAAUAUAAUUGCAAAUACGGUCAUUGUAGUCAAAGUGAAUAUCCAGAUCAUACACAAAACAGUCACUAUUAAACACAGUUCAAAUCACAAUUCCAAGAAUCAGGGUGAUAACACAAGCAACUAUAGCGACACAGUAAUCAACUACAGAUCAACACAAGGGAAAAUCCAGAAACUCAGAAACAGGACGAUCAGUGAACGUAACAAUGACUCAUAAUUUACUAAAAUAGGUAGCAAAUUGUAAGGCUUUGAAAUGAGCAUGUCCAUGUGGCUUAGGCUAUGUCUCAAUCAGCUCCUAGUUCAGUAGUCAGGGCAAUGACCAAGGAGUCAACCAUUUUAAGGCCUGUCUCAAUCACAAAAUCCUGCCGGUGCACUGGGACAUUCGCUCCCUAUAAAAAUCCCACAAUGCACACAAAAAACAGGGAGCAUCGAUGCUCACAAUGUUCCCUUACUGGAUAUGACAUGCUUUCUGAAUGGUGGACAGACUCUUAGCCAACUUCCAUUUACAAAUAAAUGAUCGCGCAACCAUGGGGGCAUUAACUACAGUAUAUGCAGGUAAUUUGCAUGCUCUUGAUUGGAACAUCCAGGAAAUGGACUUAAGCAGAAACUCAGCUAACAUCUCAGGUGACAACUCUAAGCUAGUAGUGAACAUGUGAUGGAUCAGUGUUAUUGUGUCAUUAAAUGUAACAGCCAAUCAUGUUUCAGCAUGCAAAUACAGGCCAUGCAACACUGGUAUACCAGUGGUUAUGGGCAUUUCUAAUAUGCUUAUUAAUGAAAUCUGAAUUUCUUUUGUCCACUUUUCUGCUGUAUAAGUCUUUUGAUUUAUUUUAUUUUAUGUUUUUGGUAGAACAGCUAUAUUUCCAACAUCAAAUUUAUGUGUGUGUUUGUUGUAUCUUUAAUGGAUAUAACAAAUAUUAAAAAUAGUACUUGACUCAUUGUCAGUUAACAGUGUGGGAUUAAAGUAUUGUUCAUAUUUCUAAUAAUGGAUUGAAUAUAUAUAAUUGAAUAUGAAUAUAUUGACUAUGAAAAUAAGUUUAAGACAUAGGACUAUUUAUACUAUAUCUAUUACCAUUAAGGUUUCUUUGGACUUUCCCUCUGUGGGAACCUUUAAAGGUUUUAUGUUGAACCCUAUAAUUACACUACAAUCUGCAAUUAGAACCUUUUUAGGCAUUUAAUUCUUGAGGAUAUGUAUAUGUAUAUGUUUACAGCCAUCUGCAUGUAAAGGAGAUUGCUGUAACAAUUCUUAUAAAUAUAUAAAACAUAAGACAUACAAGGAGAUUUUAAUGUACUCAUAAUGUAUUCUGUCCACAAAAAAACUUAGUUUAUCAAUCUGGUUUCAUUAGUAUUUAUGACAGUGUUUGUAACAUAAUAGUUUCUCCUCAGAGCUCAGUUAUCUAAAUAGGAAGAAUUCUCUCUUUGAGGUGUAGUUGAAUGAUAAUAGAAAUAAUAAUAAGAUCAUGUAGACUGGAUGUAAUCAGAAUGUAAUUUUGAUGAAAUAAUCGUGGUUCAUGGUGGAUGGUGAAUCACAUUAUUAUAUAUAUUUUUUUCUUCUGAAAUGGUGGCUCUAGUUUGGAUGAUUUCUUAUUCUAUUUUACAUCACACAUCCAUGAGUGUAAAUGUGAAUCAUUUCUAAUUAAAGAAUUUUACGAACACAGAAACAUUCAGGUUUGGUUGUUUUUAAAGAUGUUCAUGUCUUCUAGCAUAAGCAUCAUUAAUUAACGUGAGGAACAUGGACUGGAUCGGUACUAGACGUUGGUUUAGAACGACAGGUUUCACUCGGACAGGUGCACCGUAUGAAGAGCGAUGAGAUGAUCCUGCACUGAAGGAGACUGUAGGCCCAUAAUGAUGUAAUUAACACAUGGAUAACACUCAUUCAGGAAGGAUUCCCAGAUGUGAUUAGGCCUGUUUAAGGUUCAAUAAUUUGUUCAGUGAUUAUUUUGACUUUUACAGAAUGUAGAUCUAUAAAAACAAUUUUAAAACAGUAGCACAGCUAAUGGUGUUAAUGAUCAAUCUGUGGAUAUAUGAUCUCGCGUGUGUGUGUGUGUGUGUGUGUGUGUGUGUGCGUGUGUAGCAUGGCGCGGGGAACUGUCCGUGGUGCUGAACCCUCACGCGCGUCGGUAACGCCCUACACCUCAAAGCAUGGAGGGGAGAAAAAUGAUGAAAUGUGUAUAUUUGAGAAAAACAACUGAAUGAAACACAUCAUAUCACAUCAUCACAUUACAU